GCCCUUAUAGCUCAGCAGGUAGAGCGCAUCCUUGGUAAGGAUGAGGUCACCAGUUCAAGUCUGGUUAAGGGCUCCA
RNAcentral lists this transfer RNA (76 nucleotides) under Acidobacteriota bacterium. Its description in RNAcentral is "Acidobacteria bacterium tRNA-Thr". It matches the Rfam family "tRNA". Rfam says of the family: Transfer RNA (tRNA) molecules are approximately 80 nucleotides in length. Their secondary structure includes four short double-helical elements and three loops (D, anti-codon, and T loops). Lineage: Bacteria; Pseudomonadati; Acidobacteriota. The record is from RNAcentral.